GGGUUGUGAGGUUAAGCGACUAAGCGUACACGGUGGAUGCCCUGGCAGUCAGAGGCGAUGAAGGACGUGCUAAUCUGCGAUAAGCGUCGGUAAGGUGAUAUGAACCGUUAUAACCGGCGAUUUCCGAAUGGGGAAACCCAGUGUGUUUCGACACACUAUCAUUAACUGAAUCCAUAGGUUAAUGAGGCGAACCGGGGGAACUGAAACAUCUAAGUACCCCGAGGAAAAGAAAUCAACCGAGAUUCCCCCAGUAGCGGCGAGCGAACGGGGAGCAGCCCAGAGCCUGAAUCAGUGUGUGUGUUAGUGGAAGCGUCUGGAAAGGCGCGCGAUACAGGGUGACAGCCCCGUACACAAAAAUGCACAUGCUGUGAGCUCGAUGAGUAGGGCGGGACACGUGGUAUCCUGUCUGAAUAUGGGGGGACCAUCCUCCAAGGCUAAAUACUCCUGACUGACCGAUAGUGAACCAGUACCGUGAGGGAAAGGCGAAAAGAACCCCGGCGAGGGGAGUGAAAAAGAACCUGAAACCGUGUACGUACAAGCAGUGGGAGCACGCUUAGGCGUGUGACUGCGUACCUUUUGUAUAAUGGGUCAGCGACUUAUAUUCUGUAGCAAGGUUAACCGAAUAGGGGAGCCGAAGGGAAACCGAGUCUUAACUGGGCGUUAAGUUGCAGGGUAUAGACCCGAAACCCGGUGAUCUAGCCAUGGGCAGGUUGAAGGUUGGGUAACACUAACUGGAGGACCGAACCGACUAAUGUUGAAAAAUUAGCGGAUGACUUGUGGCUGGGGGUGAAAGGCCAAUCAAACCGGGAGAUAGCUGGUUCUCCCCGAAAGCUAUUUAGGUAGCGCCUCGUGAAUUCAUCUCCGGGGGUAGAGCACUGUUUCGGCAAGGGGGUCAUCCCGACUUACCAACCCGAUGCAAACUGCGAAUACCGGAGAAUGUUAUCACGGGAGACACACGGCGGGUGCUAACGUCCGUCGUGAAGAGGGAAACAACCCAGACCGCCAGCUAAGGUCCCAAAGUCAUGGUUAAGUGGGAAACGAUGUGGGAAGGCCCAGACAGCCAGGAUGUUGGCUUAGAAGCAGCCAUCAUUUAAAGAAAGCGUAAUAGCUCACUGGUCGAGUCGGCCUGCGCGGAAGAUGUAACGGGGCUAAACCAUGCACCGAAGCUGCGGCAGCGACACUGUGUGUUGUUGGGUAGGGGAGCGUUCUGUAAGCCUGUGAAGGUGUGCUGUGAGGCAUGCUGGAGGUAUCAGAAGUGCGAAUGCUGACAUAAGUAACGAUAAAGCGGGUGAAAAGCCCGCUCGCCGGAAGACCAAGGGUUCCUGUCCAACGUUAAUCGGGGCAGGGUGAGUCGACCCCUAAGGCGAGGCCGAAAGGCGUAGUCGAUGGGAAACAGGUUAAUAUUCCUGUACUUGGUGUUACUGCGAAGGGGGGACGGAGAAGGCUAUGUUGGCCGGGCGACGGUUGUCCCGGUUUAAGCGUGUAGGCUGGUUUUCCAGGCAAAUCCGGAAAAUCAAGGCUGAGGCGUGAUGACGAGGCACUACGGUGCUGAAGCAACAAAUGCCCUGCUUCCAGGAAAAGCCUCUAAGCAUCAGGUAACAUCAAAUCGUACCCCAAACCGACACAGGUGGUCAGGUAGAGAAUACCAAGGCGCUUGAGAGAACUCGGGUGAAGGAACUAGGCAAAAUGGUGCCGUAACUUCGGGAGAAGGCACGCUGAUAUGUAGGUGAAGCGACUUGCUCGUGGAGCUGAAAUCAGUCGAAGAUACCAGCUGGCUGCAACUGUUUAUUAAAAACACAGCACUGUGCAAACACGAAAGUGGACGUAUACGGUGUGACGCCUGCCCGGUGCCGGAAGGUUAAUUGAUGGGGUCAGCGCAAGCGAAGCUCUUGAUCGAAGCCCCGGUAAACGGCGGCCGUAACUAUAACGGUCCUAAGGUAGCGAAAUUCCUUGUCGGGUAAGUUCCGACCUGCACGAAUGGCGUAAUGAUGGCCAGGCUGUCUCCACCCGAGACUCAGUGAAAUUGAACUCGCUGUGAAGAUGCAGUGUACCCGCGGCAAGACGGAAAGACCCCGUGAACCUUUACUAUAGCUUGACACUGAACAUUGAGCCUUGAUGUGUAGGAUAGGUGGGAGGCUUAGAAGUGUGGACGCCAGUCUGCAUGGAGCCGACCUUGAAAUACCACCCUUUAAUGUUUGAUGUUCUAACGUUGACCCGUAAUCCGGGUUGCGGACAGUGUCUGGUGGGUAGUUUGACUGGGGCGGUCUCCUCCUAAAGAGUAACGGAGGAGCACGAAGGUUGGCUAAUCCUGGUCGGACAUCAGGAGGUUAGUGCAAUGGCAUAAGCCAGCUUGACUGCGAGCGUGACGGCGCGAGCAGGUGCGAAAGCAGGUCAUAGUGAUCCGGUGGUUCUGAAUGGAAGGGCCAUCGCUCAACGGAUAAAAGGUACUCCGGGGAUAACAGGCUGAUACCGCCCAAGAGUUCAUAUCGACGGCGGUGUUUGGCACCUCGAUGUCGGCUCAUCACAUCCUGGGGCUGAAGUAGGUCCCAAGGGUAUGGCUGUUCGCCAUUUAAAGUGGUACGCGAGCUGGGUUUAGAACGUCGUGAGACAGUUCGGUCCCUAUCUGCCGUGGGCGCUGGAGAACUGAGGGGGGCUGCUCCUAGUACGAGAGGACCGGAGUGGACGCAUCACUGGUGUUCGGGUUGUCAUGCCAAUGGCACUGCCCGGUAGCUAAAUGCGGAAGAGAUAAGUGCUGAAAGCAUCUAAGCACGAAACUUGCCCCGAGAUGAGUUCUCCCUGACCCUUUAAGGGUCCUGAAGGAACGUUGAAGACGACGACGUUGAUAGGCCGGGUGUGUAAGCGCAGCGAUGCGUUGAGCUAACCGGUACUAAUGAACCGUGAGGCUUAACCUUACAACGCCGAAG
This 2924-nucleotide ribosomal RNA is filed under the name Escherichia coli. Its description in RNAcentral is "bacterial LSU rRNA". It matches the Rfam family "Bacterial large subunit ribosomal RNA". Lineage: Bacteria; Pseudomonadati; Pseudomonadota; Gammaproteobacteria; Enterobacterales; Enterobacteriaceae. The record is from RNAcentral.